RNAcentral lists this ribosomal RNA (1016 nucleotides) under Hysterium angustatum. RNAcentral describes it as "eukaryotic LSU rRNA". It matches the Rfam family "Eukaryotic large subunit ribosomal RNA", at positions 46 to 1083 of the family's 3401-position model. The record is from RNAcentral. Lineage: Eukaryota; Fungi; Ascomycota; Dothideomycetes; Hysteriales; Hysteriaceae.
AUAAGCGGAGGAAAAGAAACCAACAGGGAUUGCCUCAGUAACGGCGAGUGAAGCGGCAACAGCUCAAAUUUGAAAUCUGGCCCCGUUGCGGUGUCCGAGUUGUAAUUUGUAGAGGAUGCUUCGGCGUUGGCCCCGGCCUAAGUUCCUUGGAACAGGACGUCACAGAGGGUGAGAAUCCCGUACGUGGCCGGUGUCCCUCGCCAUGUGAAGCUCCUUCGACGAGUCGAGUUGUUUGGGAAUGCAGCUCUAAAUGGGAGGUAAUUUCUUCUAAAGCUAAAUACCGGCCAGAGACCGAUAGCGCACAAGUAGAGUGAUCGAAAGAUGAAAAGCACUUUGGAAAGAGAGUCAAAAAGUACGUGAAAUUGUUGAAAGGGAAGCGCUUGCAACCAGACCUGCCCGCGGUCGCUCAUCCAGGCUCCUGCCUGGUGCACUCUUCCGCGGUCAGGCCAGCAUCGGUUCGGGCGGUCGGACAAAGACGGUGGGAAUGUGGCUCCCCUCGGGGAGUGUUAUAGCCCACCGUGCAAUGCGGCCAGUCCGGACCGAGGUCCGCGCUUCGGCUAGGAUGCUGGCGUAAUGGUUGUAAGCGGCCCGUCUUGAAACACGGACCAAGGAGUCUAACAUCUGUGCGAGUGUUUGGGUGUCAAGCCCGGGCGCGUAAUGAAAGUGAACGGAGGCGGGAACCCUUGGGUGCACCGUCGACCGAUCCUGAUGUCUUCGGAUGGAUUUGAGUAAGAGCAUAGCUGUUGGGACCCGAAAGAUGGUGAACUAUGCCUGAAUAGGGUGAAGCCAGAGGAAACUCUGGUGGAGGCUCGCAGCGGUUCUGACGUGCAAAUCGAUCGUCAAAUUUGGGCAUAGGGGCGAAAGACUAAUCGAACUAUCUAGUAGCUGGUUCCUGCCGAAGUUUCCCUCAGGAUAGCAGUAACGUUUUCAGUUUUAUGAGGUAAAGCGAAUGAUUAGAGGCCUGGGGGUUGAAACAACCUUCACCUAUUCUCAAACUUUAAAUAUGUAAGAAGUCC